This 1026-nucleotide long non-coding RNA is filed under the name Sorghum bicolor (sorghum). RNAcentral's name for it is "long non-coding RNA (SBIC_LNC015588)". The record is from RNAcentral. Lineage: Eukaryota; Viridiplantae; Streptophyta; Magnoliopsida; Poales; Poaceae.
AAUAACCCUGUAUAUUCCUAAUGGAAGAAAAUAGAAAGAAUGGUAACUAAAAGGACAACAUAUUAUACUAAGCAUGCUUCACAUACAUGAAGAGUGAAGUUGAUCCUCGAGGAAAAAUAAUUUGAUUUCACUGAAUGAGGGUUUCCUGAUAAUUUGCCAUCUAAAAGCACACUUCAGAUACAUUCCUUUAUAUCAGUGUGGACCAAUUUUUUUAGAGAUAAUUUUGCAUCCUCCACCUCCAAAGAAUACUAUACAUUGCCUAAGGAAAUCUUGGUUUGCGAGCAAGAGAGAUAAUUUAGGAUGAAUUAUGUUGAGAAAUUUGAUAAGUUAGCUGCUGCAGUCAUCGAAUCUUCAGGAACAAGACAUACCAGGUGAUUUAUAGAAUGACUGUCUGUGAAUACAUACUGGCUCAUUGUAAAUAAAAGCUAAUACUGAUCAGGGCAAAACAGAACAAUCUCCAUUUGCAAAUGCUUAUACAAGACUGACAAAAGGAUGGACAUAUUUGGUUGUUUCUAACAUUUUGUUGCUGAAAAAAUCAAACCGUUUCCCACCGUACUGUGCUUGUCCAACUACUGAAGCCUGAAGCCCCGUCUGAAUUCUGAAAUGCGGAAAAUGUUUCAUUGUUCCCGAAGAAAUUGAAUAUCAGAGUUCUGACGGAUUUUGAUAGAACUCAUUGUUCCAGUGUUGAAGCUGAUCUGUUCAUGAGUUAAUCGAUCUAACUAUCAUGAUUUCAUAUACAUAAACUGAUAAACACUUCAAUCGGCCUUAAGCAAAACUGUUUCCUUUCAAGAACACUUGCACGCGGACAACUACCGACCAACUCCAAGAACUGAGCGGCAAAUCUUGCACGGCAGAGUAAAGAAGUACUUACCGCACCAGUGCAGGCUGCAGCAAGCACCAUGGCUGCCCCAGGCCCGCAGGAGCAGGGCCGCCGGCCGCGCCCGCUUCCCACUUCGCCGUCACGGCGUGUGUGCGCGUCAGUCCCUCACGGAGGAGAGGAGCUCUGGAUCCCGCCGGGCGCCAUGG